RNAcentral lists this ribosomal RNA (460 nucleotides) under uncultured bacterium. RNAcentral's name for it is "partial 16S ribosomal RNA". It matches the Rfam family "Bacterial small subunit ribosomal RNA", at positions 338 to 795 of the family's 1533-position model. The record is from RNAcentral.
CCUACGGGCGGCAGCAGUGAGGAAUAUUGGUCAAUGGACGAGAGUCUGAACCAGCCAAGCAGCGUGAAGGAUGACUGCCCUAUGGGUUGUAAACUUCUUUUAUAUGGGAAUAAAACAGGGUAUGCAUACCCUCUUGUAUGUACCAUAUGAAUAAGGAUCGGCUAAAGCCGUGCCAGCAGCCGCGGUAAUACGGAGGAUCCGAGCGUUAUCCGGAUUUGUUGGGUUUAAAGGGAGCGUAGGUGGAGUGUUAAGUCAGUUGUGAAAGGUUGCGGCUCAACCGUAAAAUUGCAGUUGAUACUGGCAGUCUUGAGUACAGUAGAGGUGGGUGGAAUUCGUGGUGUAGCGGUGAAAUGCUUAGAUAGCACGAAGAACUCCGAUUGCGAAGGCAGCUCACUGGACUGCAACUGACACUGAGGCUCGAAAGUGUGGGGAGCAAACAGGAUUAGAUACCCGUGUAGUC